This 253-nucleotide ribosomal RNA is filed under the name uncultured bacterium. RNAcentral's name for it is "partial 16S ribosomal RNA". It matches the Rfam family "Bacterial small subunit ribosomal RNA", at positions 524 to 776 of the family's 1533-position model. The record is from RNAcentral.
UACGUAGGGGGCGAGCGUUGUCCGGAAUCAUUGGGCGUAAAGCGCGUGUAGGCGGCUUGGCAAGUCCGAUGUGAAAGCUCGAGGCUCAACCUCGAGUCUGCAUUGGAAACUGCUUUGCUAGAGUCCGGAAGAGGGGACUGGAAUUCCUGGUGUAGCGGUGAAAUGCGCAGAUAUCAGGAAGAACACCGGUGGCGAAGGCGGGUCCCUGGGACGGUACUGACGCUGAGACGCGAAAGCGUGGGGAGCAAACAGG